CUAGGAUCCUUAGUAACGGCGAGUGAACCGGGAUGAGCUCAAAUUUGAAAUCUGGCGUCUUUCAGGCGUCCGAGUUGUAAUCUAUAGAGGCGUUUUCCGCGCCGGACCGCGUCCAAGUCUCUUGGAAUAGAGUAUCAAAGAGGGUGACAAUCCCGUACUUGACGCGACAACCGGUGCUCUGUGAUACGUUCUCAAUGAGUCGAGUUGUUUGGGAAUGCAGCUCUAAAUGGGUGGUAAAUUCCAUCUAAGGCUAAAUAUUGGCGAGAGACCGAUAGCGAACAAGUACCGUGAGGGAAAGAUGAAAAGCACUUUGGAAAGAGAGUUAAACAGCACGUGAAAUUGUUAAAAGGGAAACGAUUGAAGUCAGUCGUGUGGGAAGUAUUCAGCCGUCUCUGGCGGUGUAUUUGCUUCUCACGGGUCAACAUCAGUUUGAUCCGGUAGAAAAAGGCGGGAAGAAGGUGGCACCCUCGGGUGUGUUAUAGCUUCCUGUCAUAUGUGCCGGACCAGACUGAGGAACGCAGCUUGCAGCAAUGCCGGGGUUCGCCCACGUACAAGCUUAGGAUGUUGACAUAAUGGCUUUAAACGA
This 586-nucleotide ribosomal RNA is filed under the name Vishniacozyma carnescens. RNAcentral's name for it is "partial large subunit ribosomal RNA". It matches the Rfam family "Eukaryotic large subunit ribosomal RNA", at positions 69 to 647 of the family's 3401-position model. Lineage: Eukaryota; Fungi; Basidiomycota; Tremellomycetes; Tremellales; Bulleribasidiaceae. The record is from RNAcentral.